RNAcentral lists this ribosomal RNA (500 nucleotides) under uncultured eukaryote. Its description in RNAcentral is "SSU rRNA". It matches the Rfam family "Eukaryotic small subunit ribosomal RNA", at positions 637 to 1141 of the family's 1831-position model. The record is from RNAcentral.
GAUCUCAGUUCUAGUCGGGCGGUCCGCCUAACGGCGGUAACUGCCCGUUCUGAACAAGCCAGCCGGUUUCCCUUGAUGAUCUUCACCGGUUGUCUCGGUUGACCGGCAAGUUUACUUUGAAUAAAUUAGAGUGCUCAAAGCAGGCGUGACACCUGAACAAUGGUGCAUGGAAUAAUGGAAUAGGACCUCGGUUCUAUUUUGUUGGUUUUCGGAACACGAGGUAAUGAUUAAGAGGAACAGACGGGGGCAUUCGUAUUGCGACGCUAGAGGUGAAAUUCUUGGACCGUCGCAAGACGAACUACUGCGAAAGCAUUUGCCAAGAAUGUUUCCAUUAAUCAAGAACGAAAGUUAGAGGAUCGAAGGCGAUCAGAUACCGCCCUAGUUCUAACCAUAAACGAUGCCAGCCAGCGAUCCGGCUGUGUUCCUCAAAUGACACGCCGGGCAGCUUCCGGGAAACCAAAGCUUUUGGGUUCCGGGGGAAGUAUGGUUGCAAAGCUGAA